RNAcentral lists this transfer RNA (74 nucleotides) under Botryococcus braunii. Its description in RNAcentral is "tRNA-Val". It matches the Rfam family "tRNA". Rfam says of the family: Transfer RNA (tRNA) molecules are approximately 80 nucleotides in length. Their secondary structure includes four short double-helical elements and three loops (D, anti-codon, and T loops). Further hydrogen bonds mediate the characteristic L-shaped molecular structure. tRNAs have two regions of fundamental functional importance: the anti-codon, which is responsible for specific mRNA codon recognition, and the 3' end, to which the tRNAs corresponding amino acid is attached (by aminoacyl-tRNA synthetases). tRNAs cope with the degeneracy of the genetic code in two manners: having more than one tRNA (with a specific anti-codon) for a particular amino acid; and 'wobble' base-pairing, i.e. permitting non-standard base-pairing at the 3rd anti-codon position. Lineage: Eukaryota; Viridiplantae; Chlorophyta; Trebouxiophyceae. The record is from RNAcentral.
AGGCUUAUAACUCAGUGGGUAGAGUGCUUGUCUUACAAACAAGCUGUCAUCGGUUCGAGUCCGAUUAAGCCUAC